Molecule: long non-coding RNA, 1177 nt
Filed under: Olea europaea subsp. europaea
Lineage: Eukaryota; Viridiplantae; Streptophyta; Magnoliopsida; Lamiales; Oleaceae
Source: RNAcentral
UUUCUCGUGAUUCUCCAUGGUCAUUAAGAACUUCGGCCACAACCAUUAAAGAAAUCUGACCUUGUAUGAGGGAAAUCUACUUCAGAAAAACAAUGUUUAAACCAAUCCAAACUGCCAAUAUCAGUUAAAGUUUGGUUUGUGUGAUUGACCAGCUGUCUUAGAUUUGGAAUAUUAUCAAACCGCUGGAUUCAAUAUAGUUACACGCAUCAAAAUAUAGAGGUUGAAAUUAUAGUUCAACGAGUACCUCUUGAGACUAUAAUAUACAAUUGUAUGGUUGUACGAAUUGCAUAAAGUCCUACGGAAUCAAUCAAGUCUAGGCCAAACGCUAUACAAAUUGUAGCUAUGACUCUUGAAAAUUCCAACAUGAAAAUAGGUAAAUGUCAAGGGAAUAGACAAAGGAAAGGGAAUUCAUACAAAAGAAAGUUGAGUAAUGAUUUGAGAACAAUAUUUAUCAUUCAAAGUUAAUGACCUUUCACGUAAGAUUUUUAUUGAUCAUGUCAGCUGCUCCUUUAACAGAAUCCAUCUAAAUGACGGACGAGCAUCAUGUUUGGUAGUCGAGUGACCAUGAAGAAAACUUUGAAGUUCAAUGACCGAGUGUAGUAACGCAACGCAAGAAAAGCUCACCUCAUGAGCAAUGCUUUGUGCUGCAAAUCUAAAUUUUGCAUGAAACUUUUGUAGCGGAAGGUUUGAUCACCAAUGGUGUUUUCCGGGCUCAGUAUGAAAUCCAACAAUCAAACACCUCAAGAAACCAACCAACCCAAAUCCAAUCAACUAUCCCCAGCUUCAGCUGCUUUAAUGUUACCCACUCAUGACACACAAUACGGGAGUUAUUGCAGUCGUGAAGGCAGCCACAAAGGCAGAGAAAGAAGAUGAAGAAGUGGUAAAGAGAGCACAAAGCCAACCGCCGAUUUCAUCGAAGGAAAAGGAAACGGUCACACAAAAGCAAAGGUGGCAAUUAUAUGUAAGUUUGCAUUAGGUACAGUAUUUGGCCAAGCCCAAUAACAUAGGUAAGUCGACCAAGUAUAUCACUAAGUGAACUGACACUUAUAAGCCGUCCAAGAAGUCGGGGAACCGGCAAUAAGCAGCAUUAAUUAAGUUAGGCUAUUUCCAAUGGCCCAAAUAGUUUUAGAGUCGGAUCUUUUCACUGAGGUGUCGACUUUUAGUUCAGUCAUUUACA